Cervus elaphus (red deer) is the source of this 6709-nucleotide RNA transcript. It is a transcript of the gene named nucleic acid binding protein 1, with no coding region annotated. The record is from RefSeq and is a predicted model, not a curated record. NCBI's taxonomy places the organism in Eukaryota, Metazoa, Chordata, Mammalia, Artiodactyla, Cervidae. The transcript has 8 exons.
CCGGCGCGCGGGCGCGUUCCGCAGUCGGUGUUUGGGGCGCUGCGUGUGUAGUGACUCGGUCUCUGCUCCGGGUUCGCUGUCACAGCCCAGCCCUCCCUGGAGUCCGGGACGGACAGGGCACGCGCCCGUGUCUAUGUGUCAGCGGGACUCAGGACAGAGGCGUCCUCUUGCUGCCUUUUUUUCUUCCUUUUAUCCAAAGAAGGGGGCAGUUCUCACGCUUGCCUUCCUGUCGCCCCGUUGGGAGCGGGGUUGGUGUGCGGAGUGGUUCGUCUUUUUUUCUUUUAAACUUGUGAGCGCUUUUUUUUUUUUCUUCCCCUUUUUUAGGCUCAGUGCCGUCUGGACUGGUUUCCUCGGUCCCUGACUCACCUCUUUCUGCCCCUUCUCUCGCCACCCCCGCCCAAGGUCGCCCCUCCGCCCUCGCCCCUGGCCCGGGGUGGGUGGGAAGCUUUGUCCGGCUCCCUCCCCACCCGAGUCUCCGCAGCGUAGCCGCACCUGCCUCAAUAUGAACGGGGUCAGGGACCCCCCUCUUUUUAUAAAAGAUAUUAAGCCCGGACUGAAAAACUUAAAUGUCGUCUUUAUUGUCCUGGAGAUAGGACGCGUGACCAAAACCAAAGACGGCCAUGAAGUGAGAUCAUGCAAAGUAGCAGAUAAAACUGGCAGCAUCACUAUUUCCGUGUGGGAUGAAAUCGGAGGUCUUAUACAGCCAGGGGAUAUUAUUCGGUUGACCAGAGGGUAUGCAUCCAUGUGGAAAGGAUGUCUGACACUUUAUACUGGAAGGGGUGGAGAACUUCAGAAAAUUGGGGAAUUUUGUAUGGUUUAUUCAGAAUUGCCAAAUUUCAGUGAACCUAACCCAGAUUAUCGAGGACAACAGAACAAAGGGGCACACAAUGAACAGAAGAAUAAUUCCAUGAAUAAUAGUAACAAUGUGGGUACAGGUACAUUUGGACCAGUGGGAAAUGGGGUUCAGACUGGCCCAGAAGCGAGGGGAUGCCAAUUUUCAUAUGCUGGUAGAAGCAAUGGCCGGGGACCUAUAAAUCCACAGCUACCAGGAACAGCUAAUAAUCAAACAGUCAUGACCACAAUAAGUAAUGGCAGGGACCCUCGGAGAGCCUUUAAAAGAUGACCUUUGCCAAAUACUCGCAUGUAGUUUUUAAACUAUAUGCCCUACUUGAACACUUAAUGCACUUUUAUUUAUUGUUAACUGUGAAAACUGUUCUUUAUCUGUUCUUUUUAUGUUUUUGGUUUGUUAACAAGAGUGGUUUGUUUUUUAUAGAAGAACUAUUAAGCUGCUCGAGUCUCCUAUUGAAGAAUGGGAACACUCUGAAGAAUAGGGGCAUUUAUUUUUAGAGCAAAAAGAUCUUUGGAUAUCCUCUAAAAAACCUGCACCCAUUUCAUGGGGUCCUGGGUAUUUGCAGAAAAUCAGCCUGGAGUGAAAAUCCUAGGGAAGCCUCCAAAACCAAAGCAAAGUGAGUUACAAUUCAUAAUGAAUAUUUGCCUUCUCAGCCUGCUUGGACAGUACUCAUCAAGAAGUUAAGAGGAAGAAAGUUUCCUACCUUUCCUCCUUCCUGGCGCUUUCAGCUAACAACUUCAUAAGUUUAAACACCUACUGAAAACAAAGGCCAUUUGGUACAGAAAUACACACUACUGGGUUUGGGUCCCACUUUAUUUUUAUAAGUCAGUUCUGAAGUGGAUUGAAGUGGAUUGAAGUCUCAUUAGGCAGGUGGCCCCUUCUCUCUGGGCAGGUUCUUUGAGGGGUUACUACAAUACAGACUUGGAAACAUGGAGCCCAUGAAACAAGGUGGUGAUGCGUAUUAGUGAAGCCUGCAGUAUGCUUUCCCAUGGACAUUUACACCAACUCAUUUUUGCUUGGUUCCUGUAGUUUUAGUAAUUGCAUUUUAAAUUUGAGGACAGUUUAACUUGAGGCUCACCUAAAUAAUUGUAUCACUGAGAAGUGAGUAUUUGUCACUUGUAGUUUUAUCUUUCAACAUUUUAAGAGAAUGUUUAAUUUGCUGGAUUGAGUAAUAACUCCAAGGCAAUGAUACUAAAAACAAAUAGAUGCAAGUUUAGUAAAAUCAAUGAUCUAUAAAGAACUUGUAAUCAGAAGGUGAUUAACUGGCCCUAGAAAGUUUUCUCAGAAGGUACAAAUUUGAGAGUAUUUUACAUCAGUCUUAAGACACAGUAGAAGUUCUGGAAUGUGGAUCUGACAUUCCAAUUUAGUUACUGACAUGCCUUCCUUUCUUAUACCUUAAUAAUACCAUUAUAAUGUACCAUAAUAAGAGGUUGUUCCAAUUGUAGGCUGCUGUGACUUAAAGAGACUUUAAUGUAUUCACAAAUGUUCUAUAAACAACAAACAAGAAAACCACGUGAAAAGCAGUUUUAACAUAAGACUUUUUCACACCAAACUCUGUUCUUUCCUCUAGACUUGUUUUUGGGGUAGCUUUUGCUAUGAUGCUGUUUUUUUUUAAUAUACUUUUCCUUCUGUUAAUUCGUUUUAUCCCCUAUCCAAUGGAAGUGAACAUUUCUAGUAGAAGAGAAUCACAGUUGUUCUCUGGUACAGGAUUAAUGAUAAGUAAAAGCAGAUAAUACUUGGUCAUAGUGACAAUCUGUGUAUUGAGGUUCCAGCCAGUUAUUAAAUAGAUGUUAGGGUAAACAGCCCCACAUUUCACAAAGUAGCCAUGAUGACCAACAGUUGAGGUAUGCUUUUGAGGAAACCUAAUUGUGACCUUGGGAAAACAGCACUAUCCUGAGUGGUAUGUUGUGAAACUAGAAAAACUUUCCAGAUGUGUUCAAGUUUUUUUCCAAAUCUCUUCAGGUUUGCUUUAUUAGGGAUGCACCAGAAUUUGUUCCAAUGCUGUGACCAGAGUACUCCAGGUUUCUGAGCUAAAAGUGUAUAAUGAUGUUUCUUAAAACACUGAUCACAGAUGAGAGAAUCAAGUCCAGACCAUCUGACAAGCCAUUUAUGUAGUAUGUUUCCUCAUUAAGAACAUUAGGUCCUAAGAGCUGUUUACCACUGAGAUCAUCAGUAUGAUGAAGAGAAAACGAGCAUUUUAACAAGUUUUGACUAGUAGACAUUCCAUUUGUCUUUUUCAAAGCCUUGAUAAGUAACACAUGUCUUUAAAAAUAAGAUCUUGAACCAUUUUUAACCAAAAUUUGAGUACAUUUUUGUUUCAUGCCAACAAUAUUUAUACUUCUGGACAUAAAGAGUCCAGUUUCUUUGUCCACGUAUUGAUACCGCAUAAAACUCUCAAAGAAUGGUUUAUAAACCUAUAUGAGAUUUUCCCCAGGAACUUGUUAGGUGUAUGGAUUAUUUCUCUGCUCCACCAGAAGAAUGUGUAAGUGUAGGUUGAAGAGAGCUGCACUUGAAACAAAGUCCCUGAAGACUUUUGUCUCCUGCCCUUGAUAUUAACACAGAAAUAACUUUAUCUUGAAAUAUAUGCAUAUGAAAUAUAUGCAUAUACACAUGCACAUACCAGUUUAUUUUUGUGAGGUUAGAAUAUAUCAAGGUUCUAGAUUAUAAAAAAUAGUACUUAGACAUAUACGCCUCCAAAAGUCAGAAUUGAUGGGUAAGGCAGGGUGAUUCCAAGCAGGGUAGAGUUUGAGUACAGCCUCUGUUAGCACGCUUGAGUUUUGAAUUAGGUUCAAAUAGAGUAUCUUAGGGUCAGGUCAUCCAUAGUGGAAUUGCGUGGCUUCCUCUGGACCUAUAUUGAUCAAAGUGAAAAUAUCCCUUUUCAAACGUUAGUUUUCUGUUAAAAAGAAUUAAAAUAGAUUUUAUCAUUGCUUAUUUCAGCAAGCCUGUUUGCAGCAGCCAUCUGCCUUCCUCCUGUCUCCCAAAGCAUUCCUCAAUUCCUUUUAUUGUGUAGAGAGGCUGGCCAAAUUGAAAAGUAGUGGAAUUGGAGGCCUGAUAAACUUUGCUGAGAAUACCUCCAGAACCUACCCUCAUUGACCUCAAUCCUGUUCUACAGAGGGGCAGGUAUCAUAAAUAGUUUUCAUAAAUGAGUAAUAAGCAAGGCAUAGUUUGACUGCCUGGUGGGGCUAGUCUUGAUUCAAAUAUUUAUAACCCUAACAGGAAGCUGAGUAAGACCUUUGACUUAAGACUAAGAUAGAAAACCAAUAAAAACAGGGUAGUCAGCAUAAUUAGUGCCAUCUACUGGAUGGUUACUAAAUUGUUUCAGUAAUUUAGGAAUCUGGCUUAAAGUGGGAGAAAGUUGCCAUUAUUCCAUCAGAUGGGAGUUUUUUUGAUGUUUAAGCAUGUGUGGAAGAUCAAUAAGGAGAAAUUGAGCAAUAUGUUUAUAAUUGAUGAACAAGCAACAUGGACAUCAAAAGUAGAUUCCUUUCAAUUAAACAGCUUUAUUAAAUCCUGUAUAGCUCCCUGAAGGGUCAGAAAAUAUGGGAAUUUUUGCCAAGUUUUGUACUCUUGUUAUAUAUAUCAAUAAUACUGGUGGGAAGUGUAAAUUGUUAAAAAUACCUUUGGGUGGGCAGUGGUUUGGUGAAAACAGUUGGAAGUAGAACACGAAACUGCUCUUAUAAAUUUUAUUCCUUUACUAACGAUAUUUUGUCAAAUCCUGGCCAAGUGACUGCUGUCCUUGGAGUUACGUUAGCUUUGCAGAACAUAACCUAUUUUAAUUGCCAGAGACAGUGUGCUUUGGUGAAAAGAACAUAGUUUGAGCUGAGGAGAUCUUGGUUUGAGACCUAGAUCUAUUUUCUGGCUCUAUGGUCAUGAACUUCAUUGUAAAAAGAGAAAUUGGAGGCUAUCUAUAUACUGACAGAUGAGAACUGUGUGAGCCAAUGUAUGCAAAACAUCUGUUCCAUAUCUAGAGCUCAACAAGUGUUAUGUUUUUUUCCCCAUGAGCAAUGGAAAUAAGAGGCAAAUACUGGUCAUUUCUCCAUGCCAUUAUUAGGAGACAACCUUUUCUAUAAUAUCUGGAAUAUUAAGCAGUUUUUAUAAUUGCAAUUAGGUUCCUUUUUAAAACAAGCUUUUAGAGUUCUGGAUGCAGAAAAGUACUAUGCUGAGAAUUUACCAUGACAGUUGCUGGAUUGAGUCUUCAUCACAAAAUCUGUCCAAUAGCUGAGUACCUUGCACUGUUUUUUUCCAUUCAUCCUUUCCCAGAGGGUGAAGGCGUGACUAUGAAAGUGCAGGGGAAGAAGAAUGUGUGGGCCAGGGUUUGUGUCAGGGAGAAAGUCAGUGACCAAGGGGAAAACAGAGGGUAUUGGAAGGGAUUCUCUAUUUCCAAUGACACCCUCAGUGUUGCUGUAUACCCAGAGUUUGCCGGUUUGCUUCUGAUAAAGCAUUAGGUAACUUUCCCCAACAUUCUAUUAUGAAAAAUUUCAAAUGUGUUGAAAGAGUUGUAGACACGUGUACUUGCCAGUGAGAUAUUACCAUUACUAUCUGACUGCUUGUUUUUAUUCCAUCUAUUCAUCCUAUUCUAUUCAUUAGUCUUUUUAAUACAUUUCAACUAAACCACAGACAUCAAUGAACAAUAUUUCACUAUUUUGGCAUAUGUGUUCAUUAAUGGAAUUCAAGGUGGAUUUUUAGUGUAAAAUUUACAAAGAAACGCACAAAUCUCAGGUGUACAUUUGUGAGCUUUAAUGAAUGCCUAUGCCACCUGUGUAACUCCAACCCCUGUGGAGACACAGAACAUUGUCAUCAUUCCAGAAUGUUCUCUCAUGUAGCUUCCCAAGUGAAUUCCUUAUCCCCACAGACCCAGUGGCAGUCACUUUUCUGAUAUUUUAAAAACCACUCAGCUUAAAGCUAACAGUUUCCCAUGUACCAAGGGCAGCUCUAAAUUGCCUCACUGAGUUACAUAAUUCCAGUUUCAACCAUGCCAGAGUACAACCAAGCCCAGCACCCUCACACACCUCACAAGUGUAAUUCCAUGACCUUGGUAUUUUUGAGAGUCUCUCCUUGUUUCAGUUUAGCUCCAGCUCUGCCCCUACUAGCAUCUAUUUUUUCCCCCUCAACAUUUACAUCUGACACCCUAGACUCUUGGGGCAGAAACUGCUGGAAUGAAGACCAGCUGAGCAGUGCAGUCCUACGAAUGUGACUGAAAGGAGUUGGUUACCUGGCACACACCACUGCCGAGAGCAGCUCUGUCAGGGAUUAGGGGGAGCCUCUGGUAGGAUAUGAUAUGAAGUCCUCUGGGAUGCAGUGUCAGGAGUAGAAGAGACACACUGGAACUUCAGUGUUUGCAGGUCUAAUGCUCAGCUGUUUAGCAGAUCUUGAGUCUAAAACUGAUUUCUUAAGGCAUGAGCUGACCAGAAGUGUCUUCUGCUUAACGGUUUUGCCUUUUCUUUCCAUCAUUUGGCUUCAAAGCUGGGAUACUCGGUGUGUGAAAGUUCCUUGCCAAGCAGAGGCCCGCCAUUCUCAGAUUAUAGGGAAGCAUCCCCAAGUGAAACACACUGAAGAAAACACUAUUGUGUGUUCUUUCUCAAUUUAUGUACACAUGUAUACACACAUAGUAAUCACUGCCAACAAAGUUUUUUCUGCAUUAAGCCCACAUUUCUCAGUCUUAGGUACUUGCCUUUUUCUAUUACUUGGUCUCUCCACUUCUUUAAUGGGUACCCAUAAUUUAUUGCACCCUUACUAUGGGCAUGAGUUCCCUACAUUAUCUCAUUGAUCUAUUAAAUGACCCCGUGAAGGUUUUCUUAUCCUCACAGCUUAAAGAUAAAAGUGACUAAGAUUUAGGAGGGUUGAGCAGUUUGCCUGAGAUCA